UUGCUGUGGUAUUGUGACUAUACAAAGGUAUUGUAAUAAGGCUUUAAAUGGGUGCUAAAAGAAUGGUCUAACAAGGAUUGACUUUCUUUUUUUCUAAAAUGGAAUUUGAUUUAAAAAUGAAAAAGUUUUUAUGUAAUUUUGGGACAAGAAGACCCUAUGAAUUUUGCAUUAAAAAGAUUUAUGAAUUAACUAUAAUAAUUAAUAGGGGUUUUAAUGUUGGUUGGGGUGAUUUUUAAAGAUUAUGUAUCUUUAUAAAAAAAAUUAUAAAAUAGAUCCAUUAUUAGUGGAUAUUUGUAAAAAUACUCUAGGGAUAACAGCGUAAUAACUUUGGAUAGAUCUUAUAGAUAAAGUGGUUUGCGACCUCGAUGUUGGAUUAGGAUUCUUUUGAGAUGAAGAAGUCUUAGAAAGAAGUUUGCUCAACUUUUAAAAUCUUACAUGAU
Molecule: ribosomal RNA, 440 nt
Filed under: Ornithodoros marocanus
Lineage: Eukaryota; Metazoa; Arthropoda; Arachnida; Ixodida; Argasidae
Description: partial 16S ribosomal RNA
Source: RNAcentral